UACGUAGGCAGCAAGCGUUGUUCGGAGUUACUGGGCGUAAAGGGUGUGUAGGCGGUUCUUUAAGUUUGGUGUGAAAUCUCCCGGCUCAACUGGGAGGGUGCGCCGAAUACUGAGGGACUAGAGUACGGGAGAGGAAAGUGGAAUUCCUGGUGUAGCGGUGAAAUGCGUAGAUAUCAGGAAGAACACCGGUGGUGUAGACGGCUUUCUGGACCGUAACUGACGCUGAGACACGAAAGCGUGGGUAGCAAACAGG
RNAcentral lists this ribosomal RNA (253 nucleotides) under uncultured bacterium. Its description in RNAcentral is "partial 16S ribosomal RNA". It matches the Rfam family "Bacterial small subunit ribosomal RNA", at positions 524 to 776 of the family's 1533-position model. The record is from RNAcentral.